GUGAAAUCAAGCCUGGUGACGUCAUUAACAAAUGCCUAUGGGUUGACGGUUGCUAACAAAUGACGUCACCCAAGAAAAUAACAAAGGGCGGACAUAUUCAAGAUUAUCAAAAUGGCGAGACGAACCUGCAAAUAUAACGAUUUCGUCAGUGAACCAAUGGGACACAAAUCUAUUAUGCGCGUGCCAGGAAUUGGACCAGUUACUGGAAAGGAGCUCCAGUGCCUAGGUUACGAUAAGGCUCACCAACUAUACAGCAUGUACUUGAAAAAGCGACGCCCUGCAAAUUUUCUUUACUGGCUAAUCGAUGAAACGCGCGCUAGGCCAUUCGAUGCUUGCCAGUGUGUGCAUUCUUUCCAGGUCUAUGCAAAAUCCAAAAGGACUUGUUGAACAACGCUUACUAUCGUAUAGAAACAUUAACCCGUGUUGUAUAUGCAUAUUUUAAUCAGUUAAAAAAAAUGUUUCUGGUUGAACUUUAAAAAUAAUUUAAAAAAAAAAAAAAAAAAAACCCACGAAAAAAAAAAAAAAAAAAAAAAACAUUUUCCGAUCUAUAUUCUUGUGAUCUAUUAUUGCUAUAAUAUAUAAUUCACAAAUGUCGAUUUGUAUUAAGCUAUUUUUCUAAUAGUUGUCAAUUAUUGGCAAGAAUCGGCCAUUGAAGAUGUUGAAAUGGGUUAGUUUUUGAGAGAUGAAGAAACCUGUUUGAUUUCACUGCAAGAAAUUGUUUAGAAAAUUGCAUAUGCGUUUUAUGAAGACAUCAGUAAUUGGCAGGCCACUAAAUUUUUGGGGUUUUUUUUUUAUUAUACAUAAAAUAAUUAUUGUAAAUUAGCUUGUUUUGUAAGCAUUCUCUUGUUUUAUAUUAUAUUUAUUUUUAAUUGUGUAUAUUAUAGUGUUUAGUGAGGUCAUUGUUAAAGUCUAUGUAAGAAGUGUGUUGUUGCAAGUCUGUUUUUUGAUUGAGAUAUUUUGGUGUGUUUUUCUUUUAGUAAUUUUAUAUGUACUAUUAUGUAAGCAGUUAAGUAAAAGCUGUAUCAAUCGGCGAA
Molecule: long non-coding RNA, 1034 nt
Organism: Gigantopelta aegis
Lineage: Eukaryota; Metazoa; Mollusca; Gastropoda; Neomphalida; Peltospiridae
Exons: 3
Source: RefSeq, a predicted model, not a curated record